Molecule: ribosomal RNA, 460 nt
Filed under: uncultured bacterium
Lineage: Bacteria
Description: partial 16S ribosomal RNA
Rfam family: Bacterial small subunit ribosomal RNA
Source: RNAcentral
CCUACGGGAGGCAGCAGUGAGGAAUAUUGGUCAAUGGACGAGAGUCUGAACCAGCCAAGUAGCGUGAAGGAUGACUGCCCUAUGGGUUGUAAACUUCUUUUAUAUGGGAAUAAAAUGUUCCACGUGUGGGAUUUUGUAUGUACCAUAUGAAUAAGGAUCGGCUAACUCCGUGCCAGCAGCCGCGGUAAUACGGAGGAUCCGAGCGUUAUCCGGAUUUAUUGGGUUUAAAGGGAGCGUAGGUGGAUUGUUAAGUCAGUUGUGAAAGUUUGCGGCUCAACCGUAAAAUUGCAGUUGAAACUGGCAGUCUUGAGUACAGUAGAGGUGAGCGGAAUUCGUGGUGUAGCGGUGAAAUGCUUAGAUAUAACGAAGAACUCCGAUUGCGAAGGCAGUUCACUGGACUGCAACUGACACUGAGGCUCGAAAGUGUGGGUAUCAAACAGGAUUAGAUACCCGAGUAGUC